Molecule: non-coding RNA, 145 nt
Organism: Arachis ipaensis
Lineage: Eukaryota; Viridiplantae; Streptophyta; Magnoliopsida; Fabales; Fabaceae
Source: RefSeq, a predicted model, not a curated record
GCUUUCCUCGGCGGCGAGCUCGCAGCAGACGCGAUGCCACUCUCCUCUGUUUCUCUCUUCCUUCUCGGCGUGGGUGGAUAGCAGGACGGCGAGCAAGACGCGGCUGGGUGUGACGGAGUGCGGUGGCAGUGCAAGGCAAGGCAUC